Suillus hirtellus is the source of this 133-nucleotide non-coding RNA. NCBI's taxonomy places the organism in Eukaryota, Fungi, Basidiomycota, Agaricomycetes, Boletales, Suillaceae. The record is from the annotation of a GenBank genome assembly.
GGCCGACUAGCUCAGUUGGUUAGAGCGUCGUGCUAAUACGGGUGCUCGGUGUGAGUGUGACCGGUAAACUAUCUCGCUCUCGCCGGGAAACUUCGAUACGCGAAGGUCUUGGGUUCGAUCCCCACGUUGGCCA